GCCAGGGUGGCCGAACCAGGUGAUGAUAACUAACUGAAAGGCGAUGGGCUGCAGACCCAUUUUAUAGGGGUUCAAAUCCCCUCCCUGGCU
This 90-nucleotide transfer RNA is filed under the name Thermoproteota archaeon. RNAcentral's name for it is "tRNA-Cys". It matches the Rfam family "tRNA". From Rfam's summary of the family: Transfer RNA (tRNA) molecules are approximately 80 nucleotides in length. RNAcentral also lists the same sequence under 1 other name. Lineage: Archaea; Thermoproteati; Thermoproteota. The record is from RNAcentral.